RNAcentral lists this long non-coding RNA (246 nucleotides) under Elaeis guineensis (African oil palm). RNAcentral describes it as "long non-coding RNA (EGUI_LNC021710)". Lineage: Eukaryota; Viridiplantae; Streptophyta; Magnoliopsida; Arecales; Arecaceae. The record is from RNAcentral.
GCAGGCUGACUCUACUGCACUCCAUCUUCACCAUAUUAUAUUAUGCCAUCAUAAUAUAAUAGUAGAUGAAUCCGAGCACUAGCCAUUUUCUUAAAUAAUUUUAUGAUAGUAUCAAAAUUAGAAUAUUUAGUAUUAAUAAUUAUUUUGAUAAAAUAAUACAAAAACUAGAUUGCCAUAGAGUAAUAUUGAGAAAAUCAUCUGCAUUCAAUGAAAACAUUUGUAAAUUCCAUCAUCUAAAUUUCACAG